RNA transcript from Trachemys scripta elegans, 2285 nucleotides. It is a transcript of the gene named NGG1 interacting factor 3 like 1, with no coding region annotated. The record is from RefSeq and is a predicted model, not a curated record. Lineage: Eukaryota; Metazoa; Chordata; Testudines; Emydidae. The transcript is spliced from 8 exons.
CGCCGCAGCCGCCCGCUCACCUGCUUCCCGCGCUCGGAGCAGGCCCCGCCGGCCCAGCGGAAGGGGCCGCUUCCCAGACGGACCAGGGCGGGAGCGCUGUUCCGUGAGGCGCCGCCCGUCUCAGCCGGGCCGAGAUAUAUGCAUGCUGCUGUCCUGUGUGCACCUGAUUCGCCGACCUCUCCAGUGCAUCCAGCCUUUGCUUGUCUUGCCUUCACGCUCCUUCAUGGAUCUAAAAGCUCUAGUUUCCUCCUUGAAUGACUUUGCUUCACUCUCUCUGGCUGAAAGCUGGGACAAUGUAGGACUACUGGUAGAACCGAGCCCACCCCAUACUGUGAGCACACUCUUCCUAACUAAUGACCUUACAGAGGACGUAAUGCAGGAGGCAUUGCAGAAGAAGGCAGAUCUUAUCCUCUCUUACCACCCACCCAUAUUCCGAGCACUCAAGCGCAUAACAUGGAAAACCUGGAAAGAGCGUCUUGUGAUCCGGGCUUUGGAAAACAGAGUUGGCAUUUACUCUCCACACACAGCAUAUGAUGCCAUACCUCAUGGAGUCAAUAACUGGCUAGCCAAAGGACUUGGUGUCUGUACCACUGUCCCACUACACCCAUCAGUGGCUCCCAGCUACCCAACUGAGGGCACUCACCGAGUGGAAUUCAGUGUGGACCAUACUGAGCACCUGGAGACAAUCCUAUCUAGCAUGCGAGGGAUCCCAGAGAUUUCAUCUCUCAUUACUCUCCCUGCCAGGGCUGAAGGUGAGGAGCAGACACGAGUCAGUUUGAACUGCACCCAGAAGGCACUGCUGGAGGUGGUGGCAUUAUUGUCACGGAACACCCUUCUUUAUCACAAGACUGAAAUAAUGUUAUUACAGAAGCCUCUGCUUCCACAUACUGGAAUGGGACGCCUAUGCACGCUGAGCGAGCCAGUCUCCCUGUCAGCCUUGACUGAACGAAUCAAAAGCCACCUAAGGCUGCCUUACAUACGCCUGGCCCUGGGAACGGGGAAGACAUUAGAAGCCAACGUGAAGGUGGCUGCUGUGUGUGCUGGCUCUGGGAACAGUGUCCUGCAGGGUGUGGAAGCCGACCUCUAUCUCACUGGAGAUGGCUAUAAUCUAGAUUGCAGUAGCUCCCAAAAUGUGAGAGGAAGACAGUCUACAACCCCAAAGAGCUUCCAUUCUAAAAAGAAAAGUGAAGAGUGGGGGAAGUGACGUGAUCAGCGUGAGGCUAGGCAUAUGUUUCAUUAGCUGGAUGUUCAUUUGUUGGUUUUGUGUGUCUAAUUUAAAAAUCAUGUCUUUCUGCCACCCUGGUUCCCAGCUUCAAUUCCAGCAUCCUUACAACCUGUUCUUCCUACAUGUGAGCAGUUCACACUGAGAUAAGUAGGUGACUGUGUAUUGGUGUUGUGGAAGAAGUUAGGAGGAUUCUGCCAGAUGGACAUGGAACCUCUCCUCUCUUCAGGUUACAACUAGAUCUUCCUACCAUUAGAUCUAGCUAUUAAGUUUUAACUUGUAAACCUGGAAACCCACCACCUUUUGGACGGUGUAGCUCCACAUUCCUAAGGCUGGGCAACUCACCUUCAUUCUUCCAACCCAGAUCUCCCAGCACAAAAUCCAAACCAAAAGAUGCACCUUGUGGAACAUGUCACGUUGUUCUAACACACUUUUCAGUUAAACAUUUCAAAACAUCUGCUAGAAUUACUGGUAUUACAUUAGUGCCUAAAAUGUGGUAGGUGCUCUGCAGACAUACAGAAAGGCAAUUCUAUCACAUAAGCAAGACAGCCUUUAACAGCCAGUGCUGUGUGAAAAGCAAACUGUCUGGUGUGUUUGCACAUAGUUACUGCACUUCCAGUAUCUAAUAUUGCUUUAAAUGGUACAGUGGGAUACUUGGUGUCUGAAACGCUGUGUAAAUUCAAGCUCUAACCUUUGGAGGUAGAAAAAGUUCCUCAUUGGCUAAAUCCUCAGGAGGUCUCUGGAUAGCGUCUGGGAAAGAUAAUUUCAGCCAUUGUAUGUCAAUCUAAAAUACUGUGUAUAAUGCUAAAAUGUAACUAUUAUUGUUGACAAAGAACUACAUAGUAACGCAGACUCACUUGGAAUGAUGUCAUAGGGUAACUUCAUCCUAGCUAAUAAGAAGCUGUGGCUCCAGAAGAGGGUUCUGGGUCAAGAGAGCCUUGCUGGAGAGAUGUCCCACCAUGAAGUACUGGAUGCUGUUGCCAAAGGGAUAAGUGUGAUUCUGUGUGAGCACAGUAACACUGAGCGAGGCUUUCUGUCAGAACUGCGAGAUAUGCUGGCUACA